This 513-nucleotide long non-coding RNA is filed under the name Dasypus novemcinctus (nine-banded armadillo). RNAcentral's name for it is "lncRNA (ENSDNOG00000052622.1)". Lineage: Eukaryota; Metazoa; Chordata; Mammalia; Cingulata; Dasypodidae. The record is from RNAcentral.
CCCGCCCCGCCGCCCGGCUCCAGCCUCCCCACGCUCAGCAGCCGCCAAAGCCUGGAGAGGUGGAAUUUCGCGGGCACCGCUCCCUGCUCUGGACUCGUGGAGCGGCACUGGGCAUGCUCAGUCGCCGAAGCCCGUGCAGGUCUCAAGUAGGAAGCUCGUGCGCUGCACCCGCAGCUUGAUCCAGGUGCUCCGGGAAGGGCGAGACUGGAGCCGAGCCGCCGGGCGCCGGAGCCGAAGCGAGCGCCGCGCGCAGCGCUGGUUGGAGCUGCUGUGUGUGAGCUGCUGAGGUCCGCGGCCAAGCAUGCUGUGGUUGGAUCUGCCCAGCCGGGGAACAGAAAUAUUUGCUGGAUGGAAAAUCCAUAAAAGAAAGCUCCUGUGAAAACCAGAGACAGACGAUAACCUAAGCAAAAUCAGGUCGGUAUAAGUUAAAACAGGCUGGAUAAAGUAGGUUGGGUUGUAUCGGAAAAAGCAGUUGUAUUAAUUUUAUGAAGUGUCUUUGAAGCAGCCCCCACC